UUUUCCGCAAUGGGCGAAAGCCUGACGGAGCAAUACCGCGUGAGGGAGGAAGGCUCUUGGGUUGUAAACCUCUUUUCUCAGGGAAGAAAAAAAUGACGGUACCUGAGGAAUAAGCAUCGGCUAACUCCGUGCCAGCAGCCGCGGUAAUACGGAGGAUGCAAGCGUUAUCCGGAAUGAUUGGGCGUAAAGCGUCCGCAGGUGGCAUUGAAAGUCUGCUGUCAAAGAGUCUGGCUCAACCAGAUAAAGGCAGUGGAAACUACAAAGCUAGAGUACGUUCGGGGCAGAGGGAAUUCCUGGUGUAGCGGUGAAAUGCGUAGAGAUCAGGAAGAACACCGGUGGCGAAAGCGCUCUGCUAGGCCGUAACUGACACUGAGGGACGAAAGCUAGGGGAGCGAAUGGGAUUAG
RNAcentral lists this ribosomal RNA (405 nucleotides) under uncultured cyanobacterium. Its description in RNAcentral is "bacterial SSU rRNA". It matches the Rfam family "Bacterial small subunit ribosomal RNA", at positions 362 to 781 of the family's 1533-position model. The record is from RNAcentral. Lineage: Bacteria; Bacillati; Cyanobacteriota.